This 253-nucleotide ribosomal RNA is filed under the name uncultured bacterium. RNAcentral describes it as "partial 16S ribosomal RNA". It matches the Rfam family "Bacterial small subunit ribosomal RNA", at positions 524 to 776 of the family's 1533-position model. The record is from RNAcentral.
UACGUAGGGUGCGAGCGUUAAUCGGAAUUACUGGGCGUAAAGCGUGCGCAGGCGGUUGUGCAAGACAGAUGUGAAAUCCCCGGGCUUAACCUGGGAACUGCAUUUGUGACUGCACGGCUAGAGUGUGUCAGAGGGGGUAGAAUUCCACGUGUGAGCAGUGAAAUGCGUAGAUAUGUGGAGGAAUACCGAUGGCGAAGGCAGCCCCCUGGGAUAACACCGACGCUCAUGCACGAAAGCGUGGGGAGCAAACAGG